CCUACGGGAGGCAGCAGUGAGGAAUAUUGGUCAACGGACGAGAGUCUGAACCAGCCAAGUAGCGUGAAGGAUGACUGCCCUAUGGGUUGUAAACUUCUUUUAUAUGGGAAUAAAAUGUUCCACGUGUGGGAUUUUGUAUGUACCAUAUGAAUAAGGAUCGGCUAACUCCGUGCCAGCAGCCGCGGUAAUACGGAGGAUCCGAGCGUUAUCCGGAUUUAUUGGGUUUAAAGGGAGCGUAGGUGGAUUGUUAAGUCAGUUGUGAAAGUUUGCGGCUCAACCGUAAAAUUGCAGUUGAAACUGGCAGUCUUGAGUACAGUAGAGGUGGGCGGAAUGCGUGGUGUAGCGGUGAAAUGCUUAGAUAUCACGAAGAACUCCGAUUGCGAAGGCAGUUCACUGGACUGCAACUGACACUGAGGCUCGAAAGUGUGGGUAUCAAACAGGAUUAGAUACCCCAGUAGUC
This 460-nucleotide ribosomal RNA is filed under the name uncultured bacterium. RNAcentral's name for it is "partial 16S ribosomal RNA". It matches the Rfam family "Bacterial small subunit ribosomal RNA", at positions 338 to 795 of the family's 1533-position model. The record is from RNAcentral.